GCUUCUCCGGUGAAGAUGGGCCUGAAGUAACGCUUGGGUUGCUUCUGACGUUAUAACUCAUCCUGUAGCUGCAGCAACCGUGGUCCUUGCAACCUCAUAAAAAUGUUGCCAGCAUUGUUUCGAUAGUGCUGCUUAAUUCUUGGAAGGUUCUUCGGACUUCACACAUUCCAGCAGUAGCUCUCUCAGCUCCUGUCCUGCACAGCUUUGAAGUGCUGGCUGGAGUGCAGUGGUGCCAUCUCGGCUCACUGCAGCCUCAACCUCCUGGGCUCAAGCGAUCCUCCUGCCACACCCUCCUGAGUAGCUGGGAUUACAGCGUCUUCAAAGUGUCUUCUGUAAAGACUUCUUCAGACUGUCAAUAGGAAGACUGAUAAACUCAGGUGUCUUUGUGAAGCUUCCUAUCUUUGCUUUUCAACUAAGAUGAAACAGCAUUUAAAAGAAAAUGCCAUGUGAGAUGAGAUCAGGAGAAUGGAUUCUUUCUUUCAUCUGAAUAGAGAGCUGCUGUUCGAGAUUCUAACUCAAAUAGCUCAAAGGACACCUUCUCCGGGAAACCUUCCCUGACUUCCGACGCUGUUUCCUGUUGCUUUCUGUCUGUGGGUGUUACAUAUUUUUCCCUUCUUCAACUAACCGUGUCUGAGCAGGACAGCUGACCUUCAAAAGUAAAUAUGAUUAAAGCUGAACAAAUCAGGUGAAGAAUUGAACUCCAGAAACCAGGAUGGCGGGAUUGCUCAAGAUCUCACAGAAUAAUCCAGCUUGUCUGGAAGUGAACUGCACUUAAGACAUUGGUAUUGCUGCCAAGAAAAAAGGAUCCCAUGCUGAGCUAAGGAAGAAUAAUAAUGAAGGGACAGCAUGAUAAACCAUCGACUGACCGCAAAAUGAAGCAGGCUUAUUUCCUGCAGGUUUUUUCCAUGGUUUUAGUCAGUUUUCCUUUAUUGUGACUUUGCUGGGGGACGGGGUGGAUAAUCCAUGCAAAGUGUUUCCAAUUUAAUUGGCCAAAGAGUAUUUCUUCAAGAAAUAUCUUAAAGAUGCAGUGUUUAGCAGAAUAAUGUUGAGAAAGCUGUCAACAACCCCUUCACAACUCGGCAUCCUAUUUUUUGUAUUCAUGCUUUACAUUUGUGCUGUUUAAUUUUUUUAAUCUUUGUGUUUAAUCUCCUCUUCUAAGUGUAAGUGAUUUCCUGACACCCAUUUUUUUUACACCCCUGGAAUAAUGUAUAUUCGUCAGUUUCAGAAUCCUAAAUGGUGUAAGAAAAUCAGGUAGAUUCAACAUUUUAAAACAUGCUGGUUGGUUAUUUCCACUUUGUCUUUUGUGAACUCCCUGAUCAUUUUGUUUCUAGGUUUUUUUUAACUCUACACAUUAAAAUAUAAUUCAAAAUGUGGCAAUAGUUAUAUAUAGAGAAGUGAAUAUAUCAGCAUUUAUAAUAAAAAAAGUAAACAAACACAUGCAUGCAUUAGGUAUUUGUCCUAAUACCCUCCCUCCUGUCUGCCCUCAACCCCUACAGGCGCUGGUUGUGCUAUUCCUCUCCCUGUGUCCAUGCGUUCUUCCCCUCCCUGUGUCCAUGUGUUCUCACUAUUCAACUCCCACUUAUGUGUGAAAACAUGUGGUAUUUGCUUUUCUGUUUCUGUGUUAGUUUGCUGAGUUUGAAGGCUUCCAGCUUCAUCUAUGUCUGUGCAAAGGACGUGAUCUCAUUCUUUUUUAUGGCUGCAUAGUAUUCCAUGCCACAUUUUCUUUGUUCAGUCUAACAUUGAUGGGCAUUUUGGUUGGUUCCAAGUCUUUGCUAUUGUAAAU
Molecule: long non-coding RNA, 1783 nt
Organism: Homo sapiens (human)
Lineage: Eukaryota; Metazoa; Chordata; Mammalia; Primates; Hominidae
Gene: HULC
Product: hepatocellular carcinoma up-regulated long non-coding RNA
Source: Ensembl